This 31-nucleotide non-coding RNA is filed under the name Homo sapiens (human). The record is from RNAcentral. Lineage: Eukaryota; Metazoa; Chordata; Mammalia; Primates; Hominidae.
CCCCCUGCAACCAUAGUCGUCUCAGAUCUAA